UACGUAGGGGGCGAGCGUUGUCCGGAUUCAUUGGGCGUAAAGGGCGCGUAGGUGGCGCUGUAAGUCGGGUGUGAAAUUUCGGAGCUUAACUCCGAAACUGCAUUCGAUACUGCGGUGCUUGAGGACUGGAGAGGAGACUGGAAUUCAUGGUGUAGCAGUGAAAUGCGUAGAGAUCAUGAGGAAGACCAGUGGCGAAGGCGGGUCUCUGGACAGUUCCUGACACUGAGGCACGAAGGCCAGGGGAGCAAACGGG
Molecule: ribosomal RNA, 253 nt
Filed under: uncultured bacterium
Lineage: Bacteria
Description: partial 16S ribosomal RNA
Rfam family: Bacterial small subunit ribosomal RNA
Source: RNAcentral